This 817-nucleotide ribosomal RNA is filed under the name uncultured bacterium. Its description in RNAcentral is "bacterial SSU rRNA". It matches the Rfam family "Bacterial small subunit ribosomal RNA", at positions 8 to 816 of the family's 1533-position model. The record is from RNAcentral.
AGAGUUUGAUCCUGGCUCAGGAUGAACGCUAGCUACAGGCUUAACACAUGCAAGUCGAGGGGCAGCAUGAACUUAGCUUGCUAAGUUUGAUGGCGACCGGCGCACGGGUGAGUAACACGUAUCCAACCUGCCGAUGACUCGGGGAUAGCCUUUCGAAAGAAAGAUUAAUACCCGAUGGCAUAGUUCUUCCGCAUGGUAGAACUAUUAAAGAAUUUCGGUCAUCGAUGGGGAUGCGUUCCAUUAGGUUGUUGGCGGGGUAACGGCCCACCAAGCCUUCGAUGGAUAGGGGUUCUGAGAGGAAGGUCCCCCACAUUGGAACUGAGACACGGUCCAAACUCCUACGGGAGGCAGCAGUGAGGAAUAUUGGUCAAUGGGCGAGAGCCUGAACCAGCCAAGUCGCGUGAGGGAAGAAUGGUCUAUGGCCUGUAAACCUCUUUUGCCAGGGAAGAAUAAAAGGUACGUGUACCUUCUUGCCAGUACCUGACGAAUAAGCAUCGGCUAACUCCGUGCCAGCAGCCGCGGUAAUACGGGGGAUGCGAGCGUUAUCCGGAUUUAUUGGGUUUAAAGGGCGCGUAGGCGGGACGCCAAGUCAGCGGUAAAAGACUGCAGCUAAACUGUAGCACGCCGUUGAAACUGGCGACCUGGAGACGAGACGAGGGAGGCGGAACAAGUGAAGUAGCGGUGAAAUGCUUAGAUAUCACUUGGAACCCCGAUAGCGAAGGCAGCUUCCCAGGCUCGAUCUGACGCUGAUGCGCGAGAGCGUGGGUAGCGAACAGGAUUAGAUACCCUGGUAGUCCACGCCGUAAACGAUGCUCAC